Molecule: long non-coding RNA, 605 nt
Organism: Mytilus californianus (California mussel)
Lineage: Eukaryota; Metazoa; Mollusca; Bivalvia; Mytilida; Mytilidae
Exons: 2
Source: RefSeq, a predicted model, not a curated record
GAAUGUGUAUUACAUGAAUUAGGUGUUCUCGGAAGAAGCAGACCACAACCUGUCAAAGGAAAAUUCUUGCUGGCUUGGCUAAUACUGGAAUUUACAGACAGAUAGAAACUUGGGACCAAGAAUAUAUUAACGAACUUUUCCUCUCGAUAAUCUCGAUACAAAUAUUUUGUUUAUAUUGGGAUAAGUUAAUGCAUCCGUCUUUAAAAACUGAAAGAUCGUUCUUUAACCCUUGAGUAUAUAUCAUGGUAGUAGGUGUAGAAAAUUUCACGGAGGCGUAAGGAACAGAGUAAAAAAUGAAAUUACCAUUGAACUGACGACAUUUCUACUACUUAAAUGGGAUUUGUUUUUUUAAAGUCGAUUUUACAACAUUUAGAAGUCGAACAUUUAACAUUCGAAUUGAAAAAUGCUCAUUUUGUUUUACUAUAUUUUCCAAAUAAGUUCCGUAUAGGUACUUUUGUAUUUCUUUCAUUUUCAAAUACUUUUCUACGAUAUUUUAUAACACAGUAUUGUUUACCCUUUCACCAAUUUAUUCAUUACAGAUGUCUUAGUAUUUUUGAUUGAAUAUAUCAUACAGGCCCUCAAUAAAUUAACUCGAAGUGUCCUUA